AAACUCGGAUUAAUACCGUAUACCUCCUUAGGGAGAAAGAGGGCCUCUCUUGAAGCUCUCGCUAUUAGAUGAGCCUGCGUAAGAUUAGCUUGUUGGUAAGGUAAUGGCUUACCAAGGCUACGAUCUUUAGCUGGUCUGAGAGGACGAUCAGCCACAUUGGGACUGAGACACGGCCCAGACUCCUACGGGAGGCAGCAGUGGGGAAUAUUGGACAAUGGGCGCAAGCCUGAUCCAGCCAUACCGCGUGUGUGAAGAAGGCCUUCGGGUUGUAAAGCACUUUAAGCAGGGAGAAAAAGCUAUAGGUUAAUACCCUACAGCCUUGAUGUUACCUGCAGAAUAAGCACCGGCUAAUUCCGUGCCAGCAGCCGCGGUAAUACGGAAGGUGCAAGCGUUAAUCGGAAUUACUGGGCGUAAAGCGCGCGUAGGUGGUUUGUUAAGUUGGAUGUGAAAGC
Molecule: ribosomal RNA, 452 nt
Filed under: uncultured bacterium
Lineage: Bacteria
Description: bacterial SSU rRNA
Rfam family: Bacterial small subunit ribosomal RNA
Source: RNAcentral